UGGGGGGUACUGCCUGCCCAGUGAAUCAAUUUAAACGGCCGCGGUAUCCUGACCGUGCGAAGGUAGCACAAUCACUAGCCCUCUAAAUAAGGGCCGGUAUGAAUGGCAACACGAAGGCCUAACUGUCUCCUCUUUAACUAAUGAAACUUCUUUGGCCGUGCAAAAGCGGCCAUUAAAGCGCUAGACGAGAAGACCCUAUCGAGCUUAAGGAAUACAAGACCGAUCUAAGAUUAAACCAGCUGAACCUAUGGCACGCCACUCACACACUUAAUUUUAUUCUUGCUCUUUUGCUUCCUUUGGUUGGGGCAACCGCGGAGAAAAUCCACCCUCCGAGCCAAAUUUAUUUUUAACGACAUCACGUCAUAAGCAUAACUUUUACGGUAAAUGAUCCGGUUUAACCGAGCAACGAACAAAGUUACCGUAGGGAUAACAGCGUAAUCCCUCCCAAGAGCCCACAUUGCCGGAGGGGUUUGCGACCUCGAUGUUGGAUCGGGGAAUCCUGAUGGUGCAGCCGCUAUCAAGGGUUGGUCUGUUCGACCAUUAAAACCCCACGUGAUCUGAGUUCAGACCGGCG
Molecule: ribosomal RNA, 574 nt
Filed under: Balanoglossus carnosus
Lineage: Eukaryota; Metazoa; Hemichordata; Enteropneusta; Ptychoderidae
Description: partial 16S ribosomal RNA
Rfam family: Bacterial large subunit ribosomal RNA
Source: RNAcentral